UACGUAGGGUGCGAGCGUUAAUCGGAAUUACUGGGCGUAAAGCGUGCGCAGGCGGCUUGCCAAGUCAGAUGUGAAAGCCCCGGGCUCAACCCGGGAAUGGCGUUUGAAACUGGCAGACUAGAGUUUGGCAGAGGGGGGUGGAAUUCCACGUGUAGCAGUGAAAUGCGUAGAGAUGUGGAGGAACACGGAUGGCGAAGGCAGCCCCCUGGGCCAAAACUGACGCUCAGGCACGAAAGCGUGGGGAGCAAACAGG
RNAcentral lists this ribosomal RNA (253 nucleotides) under uncultured bacterium. RNAcentral's name for it is "partial 16S ribosomal RNA". It matches the Rfam family "Bacterial small subunit ribosomal RNA", at positions 524 to 776 of the family's 1533-position model. The record is from RNAcentral.